GAUGAACGCUGGCGGCGUGCCUAAUACAUGCAAGUCGAGCGAACAGACGAGGAGCUUGCUCCUCUGACGUUAGCGGCGCCGGGGGAGUAACACGUGGAUAACCUACCUAUAAGACUGGGAAAACUUCGGGAAACCGGAGGUAAUACCGGAUAAUAUAUUUAACCGCAUGGUUCAAUAGUGAAAGACGGUUUUGCUGUCACUUAUAGAUGGAUCCGCGCCGCAUUAGCUAGUUGGUAAGGUAACGGCUUACCAAGGCAACGAUGGGUAGCCGACCUGAGAGGGUGAUCGGCCACCCUGGAACUGAGACGCGGUCCAGACUCCUACGGGAGGCAGCAGUAGGGAAUCUUCCGCAAUGGGCGAAAGCCUGACGGAGCAGCGCCGCGUGAGUGAUGAAGGUCUUCGGAUCGUAAAACUCUGUUAUGAGGGAAGAACAAAUGUGUAAGUAACUGUGCACGUCUUGACGGUACCUAAUCAGAAAGCCACGGCUAACUACGUG
This 496-nucleotide ribosomal RNA is filed under the name uncultured bacterium. RNAcentral's name for it is "partial 16S ribosomal RNA". It matches the Rfam family "Bacterial small subunit ribosomal RNA", at positions 28 to 507 of the family's 1533-position model. The record is from RNAcentral.